Molecule: ribosomal RNA, 1376 nt
Filed under: uncultured bacterium
Lineage: Bacteria
Description: bacterial SSU rRNA
Rfam family: Bacterial small subunit ribosomal RNA
Source: RNAcentral
AUUGAACGCUGGCGGCAUGCUUUACACACUGCAAGUCGAACGGCAGCAUGGGCUUCGGCCUGAUGGCGAGUGGCGAACGGGUGAGUAAGACAUCGGAACGUGCCUGGUAGUGGGGGAUAGCUCGGCGAAAGCCGGAUUAAUACCGCAUGAGAUCUAAGGAUGAAAGCAGGGGACCUUCGGGCCUUGUGCUACCAGAGCGGCUGAUGGCAGAUUAGGUAGUUGGUGGGGUAAAGGCUCACCAAGCCUGCGAUCUGUAGCUGGUCUGAGAGGACGACCAGCCACACUGGGACUGAGACACGGCCCAGACUCCUACGGGAGGCAGCAGUGGGGAAUUUUGGACAAUGGGCGCAAGCCUGAUCCAGCAAUGCCGCGUGCAGGAUGAAGGCCUUCGGGUUGUAAACUGCUUUUGUACGGAACGAAAAGCUCUUCUCUAAUACAGGAGAGUGAUGACGGUACCGUAAGAAUAAGCACCGGCUAACUACGUGCCAGCAGCCGCGGUAAUACGUAGGGUGCGAGCGUUAAUCGGAAUUACUGGGCGUAAAGCGUGCGCAGGCGGUUAUGUAAGACAGAGGUGAAAUCCCCGGGGCUCAACCUGGGGAACUGCCUUUGUGACUGCAUGGCUAGAGUGCGGCAGAGGGGGGAUGGAAUUUCCGCGUGUAGCAGUGAAAUGCGUAGAUAUGCUGGAGGAACACCGAUGGCGAAGGCAAAUCCCCUGGGCCUGCCACUGACGCUCAUGCACGAAAGCGUGGGGGAGCAAACAGGAUUAGAUACCCUGGUAGUCCACGCCCUAAACGAUGUCAACUGGUUGUUGGGGAUUAAUUUCUUCAGUAACGAAGCUAACGCGUGAAGUUGACCGCCUGGGGAGUACGGCCGCAAGGUUGAAACUCAAAGGAAUUUGACGGGGACCCGCACAAGCGGUGGAUGAUGUGGUUUAAUUCGAUGCAACGCGAAAAACCUUACCCACCUUUGACAUGGCAGGAAGACUCCAGAGACGGAGUUGUGCUCGAAAGAGAACCUGCACACAGGUGCUGCAUGGCUGUCGUCAGCUCGUGUCGUGAGAUGUUGGGUUAAGUCCCGCAACGAGCGCAACCCUUGCCAUUAGUUGCUACAAAAGGGCACUCUAAUGGGACUGCCGGUGACAAACCGGAGGAAGGUGGGGAUGACGUCAAGUCCUCAUGGCCCUUAUAGGUGGGGCUACACACGUCAUACAAUGGCUGGUACAAAGGGUUGCCAACCCGCGAGGGGGAGCUAAUCCCAUAAAGCCAGUCGUAGUCCGGAUCGCAGUCUGCAACUCGACUGCGUGAAGUCGGAAUCGCUAGUAAUCGUGGAUCAGAAUGUCACGGUGAAUACGUUCCCGGGUCUUGUACACACUGCCC